Molecule: long non-coding RNA, 471 nt
Organism: Cydia pomonella (codling moth)
Lineage: Eukaryota; Metazoa; Arthropoda; Insecta; Lepidoptera; Tortricidae
Exons: 2
Source: RefSeq, a predicted model, not a curated record
CUCAGUUCGCGGCCGACCGGCUAGUCAUGGGUUGUGAAAGAUUUGAUCGUUUUUUAGAGAAUAUUAACAUGUUAUUACGUUACUUUUUUCUUAAUUUUGAGUUUCUGUUAAGAAUUUUGAUGAAUUCAUUCGAUCGAUCAAUUAACUACAAAUAUAAGUUUGUUAAUCAUGAAGGAGAAACAUGCGAGACGGUUGGAAUCAUUAAAAUCAGCAGCAAAAAGAUCGGGUACGGAUUGCAUCAAAACAGAACUAAAUAAAUCGACCACAAUAAAUGGAGUGUCACCACUAAGGAUGGACGAAGCAUCAUGCGAGGAAUUAUAAAGAGCACUGCCAACUGCGUUUGAGGAGCCAAAAGAUACGCAUUCCACUAAUACAAGCAUAUCAAGUCAAUUUGAGAAUCAAAUCUCCAUACCAUGUUUUGUUAAUGACUCUGAUUAUAGUGCAGGUGAAAGUAUGUUUAAAAGUAUUAAC